This 628-nucleotide ribosomal RNA is filed under the name uncultured bacterium. RNAcentral's name for it is "bacterial SSU rRNA". It matches the Rfam family "Bacterial small subunit ribosomal RNA", at positions 75 to 689 of the family's 1533-position model. The record is from RNAcentral.
GGAGCUUGCUCUUCUUGGAUGAGUUGCGAACGGGUGAGUAACGCGUAGGUAACCUGCCUUGUAGCGGGGGAUAACUAUUGGAAACGAUAGCUAAUACCGCAUAACAAUGAAUGACUCAUGUCAUUUAUUUGAAAGGGGCAAUUGCUCCACUACAAGAUGGACCUGCGUUGUAUUAGCUAGUAGGUGAGGUAACGGCUCACCUAGGCGACGAUACAUAGCCGACCUGAGAGGGUGAUCGGCCACACUGGGACUGAGACACGGCCCAGACUCCUACGGGAGGCAGCAGUAGGGAAUCUUCGGCAAUGGGGGCAACCCUGACCGAGCAACGCCGCGUGAGUGAAGAAGGUUUUCGGAUCGUAAAGCUCUGUUGUAAGUCAAGAACGAGUGUGAGAGUGGAAAGUUCACACUGUGACGGUAGCUUACCAGAAAGGGACGGCUAACUACGUGCCAGCAGCCGCGGUAAUACGUAGGUCCCGAGCGUUGUCCGGAUUUAUUGGGCGUAAAGCGAGCGCAGGCGGUUUGAUAAGUCUGAAGUUAAAGGCUGUGGCUCAACCAUAGUUCGCUUUGGAAACUGUCAAACUUGAGUGCAGAAGGGGAGAGUGGAAUUCCAUGUGUAGCGGUGAAAUGC